UACGAAGGGUGCAAGCGUUGUUCGGAAUCAUUGGGCGUAAAGCGCGCGCAGGCGGAUCAGUAAGUCAGGUGUGAAAUCUCGAAGCUCAACUUCGAAAUUGCGCCUGAAACUACUAGUCUAGAAUGUCGGAGGGGGCAGGGGAAUUUCACGUGUAGGGGUAAAAUCCGUAGAGAUGUGAAGGAACACCGGGGGCGAAGGCG
Molecule: ribosomal RNA, 200 nt
Filed under: uncultured bacterium
Lineage: Bacteria
Description: partial 16S ribosomal RNA
Rfam family: Bacterial small subunit ribosomal RNA
Source: RNAcentral